CAGUAGCCGCGGGAACACGGAGGAUCCAAGCGUUAUCCGGAAUCAUUGGGUUUAAAGGGUCCGUAGGCGGUCUUGUAAGUCAGUGGUGAAAGCCCAUCGCUCAACGGUGGAACGGCCAUUGAUACUGCAGGACUUGAAUUAUUGGGAAGUAACUAGAAUAUGUAGUGUAGCGGUGAAAUGCUUAGAGAUUACAUGGAAUACCAAUUGCGAAGGCAGGUUACUACCAAUUGAUUGACGCUGAUGGACGAAAGCGUGGGUAGCGAACAGGAUUAGAUACCCGCGUAGUCCCUGUCUCUUAUAC
This 301-nucleotide ribosomal RNA is filed under the name uncultured bacterium. Its description in RNAcentral is "partial 16S ribosomal RNA". It matches the Rfam family "Bacterial small subunit ribosomal RNA", at positions 509 to 807 of the family's 1533-position model. The record is from RNAcentral.